AUGUUCGGUCUCCCCACCGGGCACCCAGAAGUAGAGAUGAACUCUUUUGGAGGGAACCUAUUGAAGGAACUAUCCGUUGUGCACAAGCGAGCUCGAAAGGCUAUGAACAGUCUGGUAAAGGCGUUAUGGCUGACCGAGACGUCUCCAGAAGGGAUGGCUGAACUUGUCAAUCGGUUUAAAGGAGCUCGGCGUCUCUUGGAGUUAUGGAAGAUACCAGCUUGCCGAGAGGGAGCACAGGAGGCAUGGGCCAUGGUGAAGACCUAUUUUACCAAACUCGAGCCAGAACACAUGGUGCGUGUCGGACCGGCAGGGCCGGAUGGGCAAGAAAUACCUCUUUAA
Molecule: ribosomal RNA, 339 nt
Filed under: Triticum aestivum (bread wheat)
Lineage: Eukaryota; Viridiplantae; Streptophyta; Magnoliopsida; Poales; Poaceae
Description: partial small subunit ribosomal RNA
Source: RNAcentral